GCUCUCUUUUGGUACGUCAUUAUCGUCCCAAAAGACAGGAGUUUACAAUCCGAAAACCUUGCGUCCUCCACGCGGCGUUGCUGCAUCAGAGUUUCCUCCAUUGUGCAAUAUUCCCCACUGCUGCCUCCCGUAGGAAUUCCUCACUGCUGCCUCCCGUAGGA
Molecule: ribosomal RNA, 161 nt
Filed under: uncultured bacterium
Lineage: Bacteria
Description: partial 16S ribosomal RNA
Source: RNAcentral